This 67-nucleotide transfer RNA is filed under the name Diadophis punctatus similis. RNAcentral's name for it is "tRNA-His". Lineage: Eukaryota; Metazoa; Chordata; Lepidosauria; Squamata; Dipsadidae. The record is from RNAcentral.
GUGUGCGUAAUUUAAGCUAAAAUAUCAAGCUGUGACCCUGACAAUAGGAAGAAAUUUCCUCACACAC